ACUUUUUGGUUUUGUAAUUGGAAUGAGUUAAGUAUAAACCCCUUUACAAGUAUCAAUUGGAGGGCAAGUCUGGUGCCAGCAGCCGCGGUAAUUCCAGCUCCAAUAGCGUAUAUUAAAGUUGUUGCAGUUAAAAAGCUCGUAGUUGGAUUUCUGUUAAUAAUUUAUAUAAAAUAUUUUGAUGAAUAUUUAUAUAAUAUUAACAUAAUUCAUAUUACUAUUUUUUUUUUUAGUAUAUGAAAUUUUACUUUGA
Molecule: ribosomal RNA, 250 nt
Filed under: Cryptosporidium hominis
Lineage: Eukaryota; Apicomplexa; Conoidasida; Eucoccidiorida; Cryptosporidiidae
Description: partial small subunit ribosomal RNA
Rfam family: Eukaryotic small subunit ribosomal RNA
Source: RNAcentral